RNAcentral lists this ribosomal RNA (1354 nucleotides) under Bacillus subtilis. RNAcentral's name for it is "bacterial SSU rRNA". It matches the Rfam family "Bacterial small subunit ribosomal RNA", at positions 92 to 1429 of the family's 1533-position model. The record is from RNAcentral. Lineage: Bacteria; Bacillati; Bacillota; Bacilli; Caryophanales; Bacillaceae.
UUAGCGGCGGACGGGUGAGUAACACGUGGGUAACCUGCCUGUAAGACUGGGAUAACUCCGGGAAACCGGAGCUAAUACCGGAUAGUUCCUUGAACCGCAUGGUUCAAGGAUGAAAGACGGUUUCGGCUGUCACUUACAGAUGGACCCGCGGCGCAUUAGCUAGUUGGUGGGGUAAUGGCUCACCAAGGCGACGAUGCGUAGCCGACCUGAGAGGGUGAUCGGCCACACUGGGACUGAGACACGGCCCAGAYUCCUACGGGAGGCAGCAGUAGGGAUCUUCCGCAAUGGACGAAGUCUGACGGAGCAACGCCGCGUGAGUGAUGAAGGUUUUCGGAUCGUAAAGCUCUGUUGUUAGGGAAGAACAAGUGCGAGAGUAACUGCUCGCACCUUGACGGUACCUAACCAGAAAGCCACGGCUAACUACGUGCCAGCAGCCGCGGUAAUACGUAGGUGGCAAGCGUUGUCCGGAAUUAUUGGGCGUAAAGGGCUCGCAGGCGGUUUCUUAAGUCUGAUGUGAAAGCCCCCGGCUCAACCGGGGAGGGUCAUUGGAAACUGGGAAACUUGAGUGCAGAAGAGGAGAGUGGAAUUCCACGUGUAGCGGUGAAAUGCGUAGAGAUGUGGAGGAACACCAGUGGCGAAGGCGACUCUCUGGUCUGUAACUGACGCUGAGGAGCGAAAGCGUGGGGAGCGAACAGGAUUAGAUACCCUGGUAGUCCACGCCGUAAACGAUGAGUGCUAAGUGUUAAGGGGGUUUCCGCCCCUUAGUGCUGCAGCUAACGCAUUAAGCACUCCGCCUGGGGGAGUACGGUCGCAAGACUGAAACUCAAAGGAAUUGACGGGGGCCCGCACAAGCGGUGGAGCAUGUUGGUUUAAUUCGAAGCAACGCGAAGAACCUUACCAGGUCUUGACAUCCUCUGACAACCCUAGAAGAUAGGGCUUUCCCUUCGGGGACAGAGUGACAGGUGGGUGCAUGGUUGUCGUCAGCUCGUGUCGUGAGAWGUUGGGUUAAGUCCCGCAACGAGCGCAACCCUUGAUCUUAGUUGCCAGCAUUCAGUUGGGCACUCUAAGGUGACUGCCGGUGACAAACCGGAGGAAAGGUGGGGAUGACGUCAAAUCAUCAUGCCCCUUAUGACCUGGGCUACACACGUGCUACAAUGGACAGAACAAAGGGCUGCAAGACCGCAAGGUUUAGCCAAUCCCAUAAAUCUGUUCUCAGUUCGGAUCGCAGUCUGCAACUCGACUGCGUGAAGCUGGAAUCGCUAGUAAUCGCGGAUCAGCAUGCCGCGGUGAAUACGUUCCCGGGCCUUGUACACACCGCCCGUCACACCACGAGAGUUUGCAACAUCCGAUGUCC